This 253-nucleotide ribosomal RNA is filed under the name uncultured bacterium. Its description in RNAcentral is "partial 16S ribosomal RNA". It matches the Rfam family "Bacterial small subunit ribosomal RNA", at positions 524 to 776 of the family's 1533-position model. The record is from RNAcentral.
UACGGAGGUGGCAAGCGUUGCUCGGAUUCAUUGGGUGUAAAGGGCAAGUAGGCGGCUUUGUAAGUCGGGUGUGAAAGCCCACGGCUCAACCGUGGAAUUGCGCCCGAAACUGCAAGGCUUGAGGGCAGAAGAGGCGAAUGGAAUUCCCGGUGUAAGGGUGAAAUCUGUAGAUAUCGGGAGGAACACCAGUUGCGAAGGCGAUUCGCUGGUCUGCUUCUGACGCUGAGAGGCGAAAGCUAGGGGAGCGAACAGG